RNAcentral lists this ribosomal RNA (498 nucleotides) under uncultured bacterium. RNAcentral describes it as "partial 16S ribosomal RNA". It matches the Rfam family "Bacterial small subunit ribosomal RNA", at positions 28 to 507 of the family's 1533-position model. The record is from RNAcentral.
GACGAACGCUGGCGGCAUGCCUAAUACAUGCAAGUCGAGCGGACGCAUCGAAAGCUUUCUUUUGAUUCGUUAGCGGCGGACGGGUGAGUAACACGUAGGCAACCUGCUCUGUAGACGGGGAUAACACCGAGAAAUCGGUGCUACUACCGGAUCACACGAAAUGUCGCAUGACGUUUCGUUGAAAGACGGCGCAAGCUGUCGCUACAGGCUGUGCCCGCGGAGCAUUAGCUAGUUGGUGAGGUAAAGGCCCGCCAAGGCGCGGAUCUGUACUCGGUCUGAGAGGAUGAUCAGCCAAACUGGAACUGAGACAAGGGCCAGAACCCUAAGGGAGGCAGCAGUGGGGAAUAUUGGAGAAUGGGCGGAAGCUUGAUCCAGCCAUACCGGGUGGGGGAAGAAGGCCUUCGGGUUGGAAAGCCCUUUUGUUGGGAAAGAAAAGAAGCAGGUUAAUACCCCGCUGUUCUGACGGUACCCAAAGAAUAAGCCCCGGCUAACUUCGUG